This 439-nucleotide long non-coding RNA is filed under the name Apteryx owenii (little spotted kiwi). RNAcentral describes it as "lncRNA (ENSAOWG00000010671.1)". The record is from RNAcentral. Lineage: Eukaryota; Metazoa; Chordata; Aves; Apterygiformes; Apterygidae.
GUUUAUCCGGAAACAGGGCCUAACCCUCGAUCUUUGUCAGCCUGGAUAUGAAGUGGUAGAACUGGAGGAAAUAGUUCCACAUGCUGUCAAAACAGCCUACCAGCUACCUAAAGCCUACCCACUUAAGAGCUGCUGUAAUGAUGUUUUGGAGGAAUUCAUAAUGAGCCUGCAAAAAGGAGUAAUAUGGAAGUCUCGCUUCAAUUUCAUACAUGAGUUUCAACAACAGCUCUCAGACUGAGACAUUCCUCUCUAAUGGUAGCAAGCAAACCUCUGCCUGAAGAACUAUGUCAAAAAAAUCUUGCUGACAUAACUAGAGCGUACCAGAAUGCCUUCAGACUUCAUUUGGCCAAAUGCAAAGCCAUUUCAGGUUGAAAUGUUUCAGUGCAUUUACAUAUGGACAAGAAGAUGCACAGGCACCACCUGUUUUGUAGGAAUUAUC